CUGGCCUCCGCGGGCUUGCCCCUCCCCCUCCUGCCAUCCCUCCCUUGUCUCGGCCUCUGGCUAUUGCCCCAGCGCAGUUCUCUUGCCUGGUGCGGAUAUCGCUGGGUUCCCGGCAGCACUGGCAUGUGAGGCGGUGGCGCUAAGGGACGUCCUGGUUUCUAUAGGGCCUGGAAUCUCCGCCGAGGCCGGCGAGGGAGAGGAAACGGCUAGAGAAACACAGAAAAGACAAUUUACAGAGAAAUGUUUACUAUCUCCCUUCGGAGACAUUUUUGAAAUUAAAGGGCUGUGGGUGGAAACACCAAAAAUGAGGGAGACUCCCCCCUCACCAGGAAGCCUGCCCGAGAAUGCCCAAGUAUCUCGCCACUCCCGCAGGAGGGAGCCUCGCUCUACAGGGAGACAGUUUUGUGGUUUUAAUGCGCUAAAACCCAAUCUCGGAUAUACUACUAAUAGGCGCGGCGCUCGGACUAU
This 468-nucleotide long non-coding RNA is filed under the name Homo sapiens (human). Its description in RNAcentral is "non-protein coding lnc-HOXB7-2:1". The record is from RNAcentral. Lineage: Eukaryota; Metazoa; Chordata; Mammalia; Primates; Hominidae.